UACAGAGGUCUCAAGCGUUGUUCGGAUUCAUUGGGCGUAAAGGGUGCGUAGGCGGCGCGGAAAGUAGGGUGUGAAAGCCCUCGGCUCAACCGAGGAAUUGCGCUCUAAACUGCCGCGCUCGAGGAACCUAGAGGUGAGCAGAACUGAUGGUGGAGCGGUGAAAUGCGUUGAUAUCAUCAGGAAUACCGGAGGCGAAGGCGGCUCACUGGGGGUUAUCUGACGCUGAGGAACGAAAGCCAGGGGAGCAAACGGG
This 253-nucleotide ribosomal RNA is filed under the name uncultured bacterium. Its description in RNAcentral is "partial 16S ribosomal RNA". It matches the Rfam family "Bacterial small subunit ribosomal RNA", at positions 524 to 776 of the family's 1533-position model. The record is from RNAcentral.